This 1497-nucleotide ribosomal RNA is filed under the name uncultured bacterium. RNAcentral's name for it is "bacterial SSU rRNA". It matches the Rfam family "Bacterial small subunit ribosomal RNA". The record is from RNAcentral.
AGAGUUUGAUCCUGGCUCAGAUUGAACGCUGGCGGCAGGCUUAACACAUGCAAGUCGAGCGGAGUAUUGGUGCUUGCACCAAUACUUAGCGGCGGACGGGUGAGUAAUGCUUAGGAAUCUGCCUAUUAGUGGGGGACAACAUCUCGAAAGGGAUGCUAAUACCGCAUACGCCCUACGGGGGAAAGCAGGGGAUCUUCGGACCUUGCGCUAAUAGAUGAGCCUAAGUCGGAUUAGCUAGUUGGUGGGGUAAAGGCCUACCAAGGCGACGAUCUGUAGCGGGUCUGAGAGGAUGAUCCGCCACACUGGGACUGAGACACGGCCCAGACUCCUACGGGAGGCAGCAGUGGGGAAUAUUGGACAAUGGGGGGAACCCUGAUCCAGCCAUGCCGCGUGUGUGAAGAAGGCCUUUUGGUUGUAAAGCACUUUAAGCGAGGAGGAGGCUACUCUAGUUAAUACCUAGGGAUAGUGGACGUUACUCGCAGAAUAAGCACCGGCUAACUCUGUGCCAGCAGCCGCGGUAAUACAGAGGGUGCGAGCGUUAAUCGGAUUUACUGGGCGUAAAGCGUGCGUAGGCGGCUUUUUAAGUCGGAUGUGAAAUCCCUGAGCUUAACUUAGGAAUUGCAUUCGAUACUGGGAAGCUAGAGUAUGGGAGAGGAUGGUAGAAUUCCAGGUGUAGCGGUGAAAUGCGUAGAGAUCUGGAGGAAUACCGAUGGCGAAGGCAGCCAUCUGGCCUAAUACUGACGCUGAGGUACGAAAGCAUGGGGAGCAAACAGGAUUAGAUACCCUGGUAGUCCAUGCCGUAAACGAUGUCUACUAGCCGUUGGGGCCUUUGAGGCUUUAGUGGCGCAGCUAACGCGAUAAGUAGACCGCCUGGGGAGUACGGUCGCAGACUAAACUCAAAUGAAUUGACGGGGCCCGCCAAGCGGUGGAGCAUGUGGUUUAAUUCGAUGCAACGCGAAGAACCUUACCUGGUCUUGACAUACAGAGAACUUUCCAGAGAUGGAUUGGUGCCUUCGGGAACUCUGAUACAGGUGCUGCAUGGCUGUCGUCAGCUCGUGUCGUGAGAUGUUGGGUUAAGUCCCGCAACGAGCGCAACCCUUUUCCUUAUUUGCCAGCGGGUUAAGCCGGGAACUUUAAGGAUACUGCCAGUGACAAACUGGAGGAAGGCGGGGACGACGUCAAGUCAUCAUGGCCCUUACGACCAGGGCUACACACGUGCUACAAUGGUCGGUACAAAGGGUUGCUACCUAGCGAUAGGAUGCUAAUCUCAAAAAGCCGAUCGUAGUCCGGAUUGGAGUCUGCAACUCGACUCCAUGAAGCCGGAAUCGCUAGUAAUCGCGGAUCAGAAUGCCGCGGUGAAUACGUUCCCGGGCCUUGUACACACCGCCCGUCACACCAUGGGAGUUUGUUGCACCAGAAGUAGGUAGUCUAACCGUAAGGAGGACGCUUACCACGGUGUGGCCGAUGACUGGGGUGAAGUCGUAACAAGGUAGCCGU